This 305-nucleotide ribosomal RNA is filed under the name uncultured bacterium. Its description in RNAcentral is "bacterial SSU rRNA". It matches the Rfam family "Bacterial small subunit ribosomal RNA", at positions 336 to 638 of the family's 1533-position model. The record is from RNAcentral.
CGCCUACGGGAGGCAGCAGUGAGGAAUAUUGGUCAAUGGGCGCGAGCCUGAACCAGCCAAGUCGCGUGAGGGAAGACGGUCCUAUGGAUUGUAAACCUCUUUUGUCGGGGAGCAAAAGACGUCACGUGUGGCGCCACUGAGAGUACCCGGAGAAAAAGCAUCGGCUAACUCCGUGCCAGCAGCCGCGGUAAUACGGAGGAUGCGAGCGUUAUCCGGAUUUAUUGGGUUUAAAGGGUGCGUAGGCGGAUCGUUAAGUCAGUGGUCAAAUUGAGGGGCUCAACCCCUUCCCGCCAUUGAAACUGGCG